CCUACGGGUGGCUGCAGUGAGGAAUAUUGGUCAAUGGACGAGAGUCUGAACCAGCCAAGUAGCGUGAAGGAUGACUGCCCUAUGGGUUGUAAACUUCUUUUAUAUGGGAAUAAAAUGUUCCACGUGUGGGAUUUUGUAUGUACCAUAUGAAUAAGGAUCGGCUAACUCCGUGCCAGCAGCCGCGGUAAUACGGAGGAUCCGAGCGUUAUCCGGAUUUAUUGGGUUUAAAGGGAGCGUAGGUGGAUGGUUAAGUCAGUUGUGAAAGUUUGCGGCUCAACCGUGAAAUUGCAGUUGAAACUGGCAGGCUUGAGUACAGUAGAGGUGGGCGGAAUUCGUGGUGUAGCGGUGAAAUGCUUAGAGAUCACGAAGAACACCGAUUGCGAAGGCAGUUCACUGGACUACAACUGACGCUGAGGCUCGAAAGUGUGGUUAGCAAACAGGAUUAGAUACCCCAGUAGUC
This 460-nucleotide ribosomal RNA is filed under the name uncultured bacterium. RNAcentral's name for it is "partial 16S ribosomal RNA". It matches the Rfam family "Bacterial small subunit ribosomal RNA", at positions 338 to 795 of the family's 1533-position model. The record is from RNAcentral.